GACGAACGCUGGCGGCGUGCCUAAUACAUGCAAGUUGAGCGCUGAAGGUUGGUACUUGUACCAACUGGAUGAGCAGCGAACGGGUGAGUAACGCGUGGGGAAUCUGCCUUUGAUCGGGGGACAACAUUUGGAAACGAAUGCUAAUACCGCAUAAAAACUUUAAACACUAGUUUUAAGUUUGAAAGAUGCAAUUGCAUCACUCAAAGAUGAUCCCGCGUUGUAUUAGCUAGUUGGUGAGGUAAAGGCUCACCAAGGCGAUGAUACAUAGCCGACCUGAGAGGGUGAACGGCCACAUUGGGACUGAGACACGGCCCAAACUCCUACGGGAGGCAGCAGGAGGGAAUCUUCGGAAAUGGACGAAAGUCUGAACGAGCAACGCCGCGUGAGGGAAGAAGGUUUUCGGAUCGUAAAACUCUGUUGGUAGAGAAGAACGUUGGUGAGAGUGGAAAGCUCAUCAAGUGACGGUAACUACCGAGAAAGGGACGGCUAACUACGUG
RNAcentral lists this ribosomal RNA (497 nucleotides) under uncultured bacterium. RNAcentral's name for it is "partial 16S ribosomal RNA". It matches the Rfam family "Bacterial small subunit ribosomal RNA", at positions 28 to 507 of the family's 1533-position model. The record is from RNAcentral.